This 385-nucleotide long non-coding RNA is filed under the name Elaeis guineensis (African oil palm). RNAcentral describes it as "long non-coding RNA (EGUI_LNC016578)". Lineage: Eukaryota; Viridiplantae; Streptophyta; Magnoliopsida; Arecales; Arecaceae. The record is from RNAcentral.
CCAUCGGUUUCCCAUUCUCCUUUGCCCCGUCUAUCUACCUCGCUAUCGAUAGCAUCUCCGAUGUCUCGAUCUGCCUUAACGCCACUUUGCCCCUCUACCAUUAAUGAAUCUGCACCUGUUCGGAUCAGAUUACUUAUUGACUUCUAUCGCAAUCCUUUAUCAGCACUAUCCUCCCUUCCUACACCUUCUCCAACAAUUGGUUACCAGCUAGACACACCCUCCUCUGACCAUCCCAUGGUGCUUCGACCCCGUCCAAAGUGGCCAUCCACCUUCACCACCAUUAUCCUCACAAAAGAAUCUCCUUGUUUUACGUAGGCAUCUAAACACUCUGAGUGGCAUGCUACAAUAACUGACGAAUUUAAUGCUCUUAUUCGCAACGGUACAC